AGCAGGGUGGAGCAGCUCGGUAGCUCGUCGGGCUCAUAACCCGAAGGCCGCGGGUUCAAAUCCCGCCCCUGCCA
RNAcentral lists this transfer RNA (74 nucleotides) under Actinocorallia herbida. It matches the Rfam family "tRNA". Rfam says of the family: Transfer RNA (tRNA) molecules are approximately 80 nucleotides in length. Their secondary structure includes four short double-helical elements and three loops (D, anti-codon, and T loops). Lineage: Bacteria; Bacillati; Actinomycetota; Actinomycetes; Streptosporangiales; Thermomonosporaceae. The record is from Rfam by way of RNAcentral.